Long non-coding RNA from Chenopodium quinoa (quinoa), 669 nucleotides. RefSeq lists it as uncharacterized. The record is from RefSeq and is a predicted model, not a curated record. The transcript has 3 exons. Lineage: Eukaryota; Viridiplantae; Streptophyta; Magnoliopsida; Caryophyllales; Amaranthaceae.
UGUGCGCUUGUCAGUUACGUGUCCAUCUAUCGUGUGCGCAUACUGCUUCUGGACUACCAUACUACAGAGAUGCGUUUGACCAUCAGCGCGAGGACCAGAUGAUUUGACAGCCAUAUGCUGAGGCGGUGAUGGAUCGACUUCCGAAGAUUUGUCGCUCAGACAUGCACAUUUGGCGUACACGGGCACCUCUGAUAUGCUUUGACGUCGUUGAGUUCCACCUCCCAGACCGAGUCCUUCGUCAGUUCGGGUUAGACCAGCCGAUCCCACAGGAUGUAGACACGGACGUUGCUCUACACAGGAAGGAUCGAAGGGGACAGCGUAAUUGGGAGAUUCGGCAUUCGGACCAUGUACACGAGUGGAGUCGACGAGAGGCAUUAGUCGUCCAGGGAUACCCGUUCACUAGGACUUCUUCCCCGGCCAUGACAGAGUAAAUGGCUUGGUACCGUCGCAUCACGAGAUUGGUCAUUACUCCACCUUCGCAGGAGCACCCCCCAAGUCAUUACCAGCCAGCUACCUCUGACCUCCUGCUUGCACAUGCAUUUGCUGAUUUGCACGUCCAGCUAUCGGGAGCUACUGAGACCAUCUCCCACUUGCCACCAGAGACGGCUAUACCAUUUGCCAUACAGACGAUGCAGGGUUUUACAUCAUUUUGUGGGCAAACCUUGUCUA